AAUCAACGCUGGCGGCGCGCCUAACACAUGCAAGUCGAACGAGAAAGUGGAGCAAUCCAUGAGUACAGUGGCGUACGGGUGAGUAACACGUGGGUAAUCUACCCUUUGGUGGGGAAUAACUUUGGGAAACCGAAGCUAAUACCGCAUAAUCCCGAGAGGGAAAAGCAGCAAUGCGCCGAAGGAGGAGCCCGCGGCCGAUUAGCUAGUUGGUAGGGUAACAGCCUACCAAGGCAAAGAUCGGUAGCCGGCCUGAGAGGGCACACGGCCACA
This 270-nucleotide ribosomal RNA is filed under the name uncultured bacterium. RNAcentral describes it as "partial 16S ribosomal RNA". It matches the Rfam family "Bacterial small subunit ribosomal RNA", at positions 32 to 312 of the family's 1533-position model. The record is from RNAcentral.